This 772-nucleotide ribosomal RNA is filed under the name uncultured fungus. RNAcentral describes it as "SSU rRNA". It matches the Rfam family "Eukaryotic small subunit ribosomal RNA", at positions 564 to 1344 of the family's 1831-position model. Lineage: Eukaryota; Fungi. The record is from RNAcentral.
GUGCCAGCAGCCGCGGUAAUUCCAGCUCCAAUAGCGUAUAUUAAAGUUGUUGUGGUUAAAAAGCUCGUAGUUGAACCUUGGGCCUGGCUGGCCGGUCCGCCUCACCGCGUGCACUGGUCCGGCCGGGCCUUUCCCUCUGUGGAACCCCAUACCCUUCACUGGGCGUGGCGGGGAAACAGGACAUUUACUUUGAAAAAAUUAGAGUGCUCCAGGCAGGCCUAUGCUCGAAUACAUUAGCAUGGAAUAAUAAAAUAGGACGCGCGGUUCUAUUUUGUUGGUUUAUAGGACCGCCGUAAUGAUUAAUAGGGACAGUCGGGGGCAUCAGUAUUCAACUGUCAGAGGUGAAAUUCUUGGAUCAGUUGAAGACUAACUACUGCGAAAGCAUAUGCCAAGGAUGUUUUCAUUAAUCAGGAACGAAAGUUAGGGGAUCGAAGACGAUCAGAUACCGUCGUAGUCUUAACCAUAAACUAUGCCGACUAGGGAUCGGACGGUGUUAUUCAUGACCCGUUCGGCACCUUACGAGAAAUCAAAGUGCUUGGGCUCCAGGGGGAGUAUGGUCGCAAGGCUGAAACUUAAAGAAAUUGACGGAAGGGCACCACCAGGGGUGGAGCCUGCGGCUUAAUUUGACUCAACACGGGGAAACUCACCAGGUCCAGACACAAUAAGGAUUGACAGAUUGAGAGCUCUUUCUUGAUUUUGUGGGUGGUGUGCAUGGCCGUUCUUAGUUGGUGGGGUGACUUGUCUGCUUAAUUGCGAUAACGAACGAGACCUU